UAGAGGAAGUAAAAGUCGUAACAAGGUUUCCGUAGGUGAACCUGCGGAAGGAUCAUUAACGAAUGCGAGACGGGGGAGCUGUYGCUGGCCUUUCGGGGCAUGUGCACGCUCCUUCGAAUCCAAAUUAUAAACCUGUGAACCAACGGCGGAGGAAUGGUUGGGACCCUGUAGGGUGUCGUCGCUCCGGUGAUCGAUGCUCGCCGGUGGGCCCUUCCGUCUUCUCCUGCUCAUCAUAUACUCUUAAAAGUCAUGUCCAGAAUGUCCUUUGCGUACUCUUGGUCGCAAUUGUAAUACAACUUUCAGCAACGGAUCUCUUGGCUCUCGCAUCGAUGAAGAACGCAGCGAAAUGCGAUAAGUAAUGUGAAUUGCAGAAUUCAGUGAAUCAUCGAAUCUUUGAACGCACCUUGCACGCUCCGGUAUUCCGGAGCGUAUGCCCGUUUGAGUGUCGUGGUAUCAUCGAACCCCAUCGUUUUGCGACGGUGGUGGCUCGGACUUGGAGGCGCUGCCGGGCCUUUUUCUAAGGCUCGGCUCCUCUGAAAUGCAUUAGCUGGGACUUUGGUCCGAGGGCUCUGACGUGAUAGUGAUGUUGCGUCGUGGUUCGAGGGCUUGUGUGGUCGCCGCUUAUAAUGGUCCGCCAGGACGUGAUGGUGUCUUUUUGAYGCCUUGACCUUUGACCUCAAAUCGGGUAGGACUACCCGCUGAACUUAAGCAUAUCA
Molecule: ribosomal RNA, 716 nt
Filed under: Crustoderma flavescens
Lineage: Eukaryota; Fungi; Basidiomycota; Agaricomycetes; Polyporales
Description: eukaryotic LSU rRNA
Rfam family: 5.8S ribosomal RNA (bases 295-448)
Source: RNAcentral